RNAcentral lists this ribosomal RNA (253 nucleotides) under uncultured bacterium. RNAcentral describes it as "partial 16S ribosomal RNA". It matches the Rfam family "Bacterial small subunit ribosomal RNA", at positions 524 to 776 of the family's 1533-position model. The record is from RNAcentral.
UACGGAGGGUGCAAGCGUUACUCGGAAUCACUGGGCGUAAAGGGCGCGUAGGCGGCCUAGCAAGUCUGGUGUGAAAGCCCAGGGCUCAACCCUGGAAGGGCACUGGAAACUGUUAGGCUUGAGUUCCGGAGAGGUGGGGGGAAUUCCCGGUGUAGCGGUGAAAUGCGUAGAUAUCGGGAGGAAUACCGGUGGCGAAGGCGCCACUCUGGACGGAAAUUGACGCUGAGGCGCGAAAGCGUGGGGAGCAAACAGG